GGGGGCGUCAUGGUUUCGACUUUAUGGAGCAGGGUGACGAUGCAUGUCGGAGAUGGCCGGUUGGCUCCGUUAAAAAUCCGGCCAAAGUCCUUAAAUGGCAAAACUAAAAAAGAUAACAUUAUUAGAGGCUUAAACUUCAGCCCAGCGGCCAAUGGCUGUGCGGCGAUGAGUGCGGCUGCCUAAUGGUGGAGUCACCUAGGAUAGGUGGCACGUCGCGGUGUCUGACGGUCCGCUAGGACAUCGCGACGACAAACAGCGGGCACGGCGGGGUUGGCGUGCAUCCACCCCGCUAAGAAAAUGCACUCGCCGGGAAAAUUGGUGUCGAAGCGAAUUUUUUUCGGUUAAAUCUUAGACGGCGACUAAGCAUGUAGAUGCGGCAUCUGAGAACAUAAAGGACGUGGGUUCGACUCCCACCGCCUCCACCA
This 425-nucleotide transfer-messenger RNA is filed under the name Puniceicoccales bacterium. It matches the Rfam family "transfer-messenger RNA". From Rfam's summary of the family: Bacterial tmRNA, also known as 10Sa RNA or SsrA, is named for its dual tRNA and mRNA-like properties. Its role is to liberate the mRNA from a stalled ribosome. To accomplish this part of the tmRNA is used as a reading frame that ends in a translation stop signal. Lineage: Bacteria; Pseudomonadati; Verrucomicrobiota; Opitutia; Puniceicoccales. The record is from RNAcentral.